UCAACCUGCUUAAUGGACACCCGGUAAGAAAGGAAAAAUCCUGGCGGCUAUUCACGGUUCUCCGCUACCGCCGCCGCGCCGCUCGUGUCCCCAUCCAUGGCUUCGGAGGCGGGCGCCGCUCCUAUCCCCAUCCAUGGCUUCGGAGGCGGGCGCCGCCCCAUCCUUCCGCUCUGCCCCUCAACUCCUCUUCCCCGAAGGAACAGCUCCACCGCCGCCGCUCCAUCCCUCCGCUCCUCCCGUCAACUUCUCUUAUCCGGGCGCCUCCACCUCGUGCGUUGAGCAGCCGGUGUCCGGCAAGAUCUUUGUGGAACCGCUCGAGCCCGUCCAUGUAUGUGAGGAGGAGAAGGGAAGCAGUCCAGUUCGGAAGAAGGAGAAGGACGGCUGCCAGAUUCGGCAGAAGAAGAGACGGAAAAAGGGCAAUAAUAUUUCUGCUCCAUCAAUAGAAGGAACGAUACUGCCAGUAUAACAAGGAACAGUACCAUCGAAGUUGUUGAGAGCAAAGACUACAAGUUAAAUUCUUGUGUAUCCUCAUGUUGGCACUGCUGGGUGAUGAUAACAGUGCUCUUUGUUUACUCCUACUUUUUCUUUUAAAAAGUAAACCUUGUUGCGAAAAAAGCAAACCUCAUGUGGUUUCGUUGAUUGUUCCAGAUGGUAUGAUUGACAUGGCCAUUGUCACCAGGACCUUUGGACUUGUAGGGCUUGUUGCUAGUGGAAUCAUAACCGCUGCUUCAUCAUCCAGCAAGAAAUGAGGCUGUAGUAUGAAGUGAAUAAGAUGAUCAGAUGAACAAGAACUUGAUGUAAAGUUAUGAUCGUCCUUGAGUGCGAGAGGCUAUGCUCAUGUUGGAUCGUAUCCAACUUAACUCAGCUGCGUAUCAUUGGUUAUGACUUGUGAAGUGUUGUUUUGAACUGCUUAUACAUAUUUUGUAAUGGAUUUUCUUGUUUGUUA
Molecule: long non-coding RNA, 946 nt
Organism: Lolium perenne
Lineage: Eukaryota; Viridiplantae; Streptophyta; Magnoliopsida; Poales; Poaceae
Source: RefSeq, a predicted model, not a curated record